UACGAAGGGGGCUAGCGUUGCUCGGAAUCACUGGGCGUAAAGCGCACGUAGGCGGAUUGCUAAGUCAGGGGUGAAAUCCUGGAGCUCAACUCCAGAACUGCCUUUGAUACUGGCGACCUUGAGUCCGGGAGAGGUGAGUGGAACUGCGAGUGUAGAGGUGAAAUUCGUAGAUAUUCGCAAGAACACCAGUGGCGAAGGCGGCUCACUGGCCCGAUACUGACGCUGAGGCACGAAAGCGUGGGGGGCAAACAGG
RNAcentral lists this ribosomal RNA (253 nucleotides) under uncultured bacterium. RNAcentral's name for it is "partial 16S ribosomal RNA". It matches the Rfam family "Bacterial small subunit ribosomal RNA", at positions 524 to 776 of the family's 1533-position model. The record is from RNAcentral.